RNAcentral lists this ribosomal RNA (253 nucleotides) under uncultured bacterium. RNAcentral's name for it is "partial 16S ribosomal RNA". It matches the Rfam family "Bacterial small subunit ribosomal RNA", at positions 524 to 776 of the family's 1533-position model. The record is from RNAcentral.
GACAGAGGUGCCGAGCGUUAGGCGGAAUCACUGGGCUUAAAGCGUGUGUAGGCGGACGUCUAAGUACCUUGUGAAAUCCCACGGCUCAACCGUGGAACGGCUUGGUAUACUGGGCGUCUUGAGCCACUUAGGGGUCGUCGGAACUUCCGGUGGAGCGGUGAAAUGCGUAGAUAUCGUAAGGAAGACCAGUGGCGAAGGCGGGUCUCUGGACAGUUCCUGACGCUGAGGCACGAAGGUCAGGGGAGCAAACGGG